AUGCUUGUGGAUGAUAAAGAGCUGGAGCUGAGAGAAUUACAAGGAAGCCCAAAUGCACUGGGGUUCUCUGAUCAUUUUACUACUAAUGGAGAUCAUGCCUGUUCACUUUGCAAAGGUUGGUUUUGGGGAAGAACGGAACAAAUUUUCCACUCUAAAAUGAAAUGCUGUAAUAUGCAUGUGUCUGCAACUGCAUGUAUAAUAUUUUGAGCUGUGGAUAAGGAAUUUUUGGGAUUUCAGAUUUGCUGGCCAAGUUUCCUCCAAAUUCUGUGAAGAUGAAGCAGCCAUUCUGUAUGUAA
This 296-nucleotide long non-coding RNA is filed under the name Prunus dulcis (almond). Its description in RNAcentral is "sRNA ncRNA". Lineage: Eukaryota; Viridiplantae; Streptophyta; Magnoliopsida; Rosales; Rosaceae. The record is from RNAcentral.